AUGGGCGGCUCGCACGCACCGUCGGCGCAGAUCCCGUUCCCGGACCACAUCGUCCACGAGGCCGGCACCGGGGGCUCCGCGGCUCGCCGCGCGGCCACCGCCGCCCGGGCCGUCCGCGCGGGGGCGCCCCGCGCCGCCGGCAGCUUCGCCGCCUUCUUCGCCGCCUUCUGCGUCCCCGAGUGCGGCAUGGCCUACGCGCGCGGCGGGAAGGAGGAAUCGUGGAACUUCGUCUUCGCCGGCGCCGCCACGAGCGGCUUCCUUCGCCUGCGCCAGGGAGCGGUCACCGCCGGCCGCGACGCGCUCUGGAGCGCCGCCUUCUUCGCGCUCGCGGAGGGCGCCUCCCUCGCGAUCCACCGCGCCCUAGACGACCUCCCGCCGGCGGACGGUCGUCGCGGCCUCGCCGCGCGCGCACCGGUGGGCCGUCCACGCCGCCUCCCCGCCUCCCCGGGAUUCCCGGGUCAGCUCAUCGUGGUUAAGGAGGUCGCUGUCGCCGACAACGAAGACGACUCCGGCUUUUCCGACGGCUUCUUCGCUGAAGAGCGUCACGCAAGCCAAGCACAGCUCAGCCUCCUCCGUGCUCCGAUCAUGGCGUCGCCGUCCCCGCCGCGACCGGACGAGCGCGACACGGACUUGCCGUUGCCGAGCCCUCCGCGGAAGCCGUACCCGGGCUUCAUACUCGACGACGCGGGCGGCGGCUUCCUGAUCGGCGGCGGGGUCGGCUCCGCCUACCACGCCGCCAGGGGCCUCCUCGGCUCGUCGAGCGGCCACCGCCUCGCCGGCGCGGCGCGCGCCGUCCGCGCCAACGCGCCCCGCAUCAGCGCCACGUGGGCCGCGCGCUGCGGCCUCUACGGCGCCUUCAAGUGCGCCCUGUCCCUGCCGCGCGCGACGGACGGCGACCCCGUGGUCUCCGUGCUCGCCGCGGGCGCCGCGGGGGCCGCGCACUGCCUGCGCCGGGGGCCCCUCGCCGUCGGCCGCGGCGCGCUCGUCGGCGCCGCGUCCAUGGCCGUCAUCGAGAGGGCCGACGCCGCGCUGGACAACUUGCGCUCCUGGGUCCACUACCACAGGCGGCUUGUCCCCGAGGAGGACAUCGAUGGCGGCGGCGGCAGCGACCCCAAACCCGACGACGAGCCGCCGAUUGGGUUCCUGGGGUGCAAGGUCGUCGUCGAGAUCGAUCGAUCCAUGGAGGAGGAGUGGGGGGUGCCCUACCCGGACUGUGUCUUGGACAACGCCGGCGCUGGCUUCGUGGGCGGCGCCGCCGCCGGCACGCUCGCCCACCUGUUCACGGGCCUCCGCGACUUCCCCUGCGGCCGCCACCUCGCCGGCGCCGCCCAGGCCGUCCGCGACGGCGCCCCCUGCCUCGCCACCCGCUGGGCCGCCCGCCUCGCCGUCUACAGCGCCGCCUGCCACGCCCUGUCGUCGGCGACCGACAGGCACGACGACCCGCUCGUCUCCGUCGCCGCCGGCGCCGCCACGGGGGCCGUCGCCCGCUUGCGCCACGGCCCGCUCGCCGUGGGCCGCGCCGCGCUCGUCGGCGCCGCCACGUUGGCCGCCGUGGAGCUCAUGAUCAGGGAUAGCGUGGAAGAGCACGACGAUGACAAGCCCCGUAGAAACCAGCGGCCUUUGCCGGCGAAGACCAAGGAGGAUGACGUCAUCCUGCGGAUAACGCCGGCGAUUGACCAUUUCCCGGUGCCUGACCCAUUUAUUGCUGCCUCUAGAGGUAGCCUCCUCCGGUUUCGGGGUUAAAUUUGUUAGU
This 1753-nucleotide long non-coding RNA is filed under the name Oryza sativa Indica Group (long-grained rice). RNAcentral describes it as "lncRNA OsMH63_03G021500". The record is from RNAcentral. Lineage: Eukaryota; Viridiplantae; Streptophyta; Magnoliopsida; Poales; Poaceae.